UACGUAGGGUGCAAGCGUUGUCCGGAAUUAUUGGGCGUAAAGAGCUCGUAGGCGGUUUGUCGCGUCUGCUGUGAAAACCCGAGGCUCAACCUCGGGCCUGCAGUGGAUACGGGCAGACUAGAGUGCGGUAGGGGAGAUUGGAAUUCCUGGUGUAGCGGUGGAAUGCGCAGAUAUCAGGAGGAACACCGGUGGCGAAGGCGGGUCUCUGGGCCGUAACUGACGCUGAGGAGCGAAAGCGUGGGGAGCGAACAGG
This 253-nucleotide ribosomal RNA is filed under the name uncultured bacterium. Its description in RNAcentral is "partial 16S ribosomal RNA". It matches the Rfam family "Bacterial small subunit ribosomal RNA", at positions 524 to 776 of the family's 1533-position model. The record is from RNAcentral.